UCGGUCGCCGCCUUCUCCCUCGUCGCCGCGCAGGAGGCCCCGGCGCCGAGCCCCAUGUCGGCCGCCGGCGCAGCGGCGCCGUCCCUCGCCGCCGCGCUCGUCGCCUCCGGCGCCGCCUUCCUCUUCGCCGCCGUCCGCCACUGA
RNAcentral lists this ribosomal RNA (144 nucleotides) under Triticum aestivum (bread wheat). RNAcentral describes it as "partial small subunit ribosomal RNA". The record is from RNAcentral. Lineage: Eukaryota; Viridiplantae; Streptophyta; Magnoliopsida; Poales; Poaceae.